AACCUAUUAGCUCAAAUGGAAGAGCAUUGUGCAAAUGCGCAAAUAUGUGGGUUCGAAUCCCAUGUAGGUUA
Non-coding RNA from Spinacia oleracea (spinach), 71 nucleotides. The record is from Rfam. Lineage: Eukaryota; Viridiplantae; Streptophyta; Magnoliopsida; Caryophyllales; Amaranthaceae.